GACGUAGGGCGCGAGCGUUGUUCGGAUUCAUUGGGCGUAAAGGGUGCGUAGGUGGCGUCGUAAGUCAGGUGUGAAAUCUCGGGGCUCAACCCCGAAACUGCACUUGAUACUGCGAUGCUCGAGUACUGGAGAGGAGAUUGGAAUUUACGGUGUAGCAGUGAAAUGCGUAGAUAUCGUAAGGAAGACCAGUGGCGAAGGCGAAUCUCUGGACAGUUACUGACACUGAGGCACGAAGGCCAGGGGAGCAAACGGG
This 253-nucleotide ribosomal RNA is filed under the name uncultured bacterium. RNAcentral describes it as "partial 16S ribosomal RNA". It matches the Rfam family "Bacterial small subunit ribosomal RNA", at positions 524 to 776 of the family's 1533-position model. The record is from RNAcentral.